AUUGAACGCUGGCGGGAGGCUUAACACAUGCAAGUCGAACGAGUGGCGGACGGGUGAGUAAUGUAUCGGAAACUGCCCAAUGGAGGGGGAUAACUACUGGAAAGGGUGGCUAAUACCGCAUACCAUCGGAGCGGCCCAAAUGGGAUUAGCUAGUAGGUGGGGUAAUGGCUCACCUAGGCUACGAUCCCUAGCUGGUUUGAGAGGACGAACAGCCACACUGGAACUGAGACACGGCCCAGACGCCUACGGGAGGCAGCAGUGGGGAAUUUUGGACAAUGGGCGCAAGCCUGAUUCAGCCAUGCCGCGUGUAUGAAGAAGGCCUUCGGGUUGUAAAGUACUUUCAGCGGAGAGGCGUUACCCGCAGAAUAAGCACCGGCUAACUCCGUGCCAGCAGCCGCGGUAAUUC
Molecule: ribosomal RNA, 406 nt
Filed under: uncultured bacterium
Lineage: Bacteria
Description: partial 16S ribosomal RNA
Rfam family: Bacterial small subunit ribosomal RNA
Source: RNAcentral